This 263-nucleotide ribosomal RNA is filed under the name uncultured bacterium. Its description in RNAcentral is "partial small subunit ribosomal RNA". It matches the Rfam family "Bacterial small subunit ribosomal RNA", at positions 26 to 288 of the family's 1533-position model. The record is from RNAcentral.
AGAGCGAACGCUGGCGGCGUGCUUAACACAUGCAAGUCGAGUGCGCGCCUGUAGCAAUACAGGUGGCGCACGGCGCACGGGUGCGUAACACGUGGGCAAUCUGCCCUUCGAUGGGGAAUAACCCCGGGAAACCGGGCUAAUUCCGCAUAAUAUUCCGAUGACUAACGUCAAUGGAUUCAAAGCCGUAAGGCGUCGAAGGAGGAGCCCGCGCACGAUUAGCUAGUUGGUGAGGUAACGGCUCACCAAGGCUAUGAUCGUUAGCU